AUAUGACGAGCCUUGAAGUGGGGGCAUUUGUAGACAUUGAAAUUUCGGUAAAUAAAUGUUGACCGAUAAAUCAAAGUGUCAACGCUCAUGUAUUACAUAAAUUUUACACGUAGCGUGUGACUAAACGAAAAUUGAAAUGAGUUGGAAAAGUCAUCAAACAGGACACGUGUCAACACCUGGCAGAAACGACUUAUUUCAUCUGAAAUAUUAUAUUCAAAAUUAGGCCUUGGAAAUUUCUAUAAAUAGAAGCCAAUUUCAUUCAUUUGAGGGGAGAACCAAAAUCAUUAGGCAAAAUUCUUGAAGCUCUGAAACUCUGAAACUCCGAAGCUCUCAAGCAUCGAGGUUCCCGAAGAAUCAAGAAAGCGUUCUUCGUUCUUCGUUCAUCGUUCUUCCAAGAUCAAGCCUCGACGGCCCUUGGAUCAACA
This 425-nucleotide long non-coding RNA is filed under the name Malus domestica (apple). RNAcentral's name for it is "long non-coding RNA (MDOM_LNC008715)". Lineage: Eukaryota; Viridiplantae; Streptophyta; Magnoliopsida; Rosales; Rosaceae. The record is from RNAcentral.